GUCGAUGAGCACAUGGCAAACACA
This 24-nucleotide non-coding RNA is filed under the name Cricetulus griseus (Chinese hamster). Lineage: Eukaryota; Metazoa; Chordata; Mammalia; Rodentia; Cricetidae. The record is from RNAcentral.